RNAcentral lists this ribosomal RNA (301 nucleotides) under uncultured bacterium. RNAcentral's name for it is "partial 16S ribosomal RNA". It matches the Rfam family "Bacterial small subunit ribosomal RNA", at positions 509 to 809 of the family's 1533-position model. The record is from RNAcentral.
CAGCAGCCACGGUAAAACGAAGGGGGCUAGCGUUGUUCGGAUUUACUGGGCGUAAAGCGCACGUAGGCGGAUCGUUAAGUCGGGGGUGAAAUCCUGGAGCUCAACUCCAGAAUUGCCUUUAAGACUGCCGAGAUAGCAGGUGAGAGAGGUAAGUGGAAUUCCGAGUGUAGAGGUGAAAUUCGUAGAUAUGCGGAGGAACACCGAUGGCGAAGGCAGCCCCCUGGGCCAACACUGACGCUCAUGCACGAAAGCGUGGGGAGCAAACAGGAUUAGAUACCCGGGUAGUCCCUGUCUCUUAUAA